This is a non-coding RNA of Arachis ipaensis, 1635 nucleotides long. NCBI's taxonomy places the organism in Eukaryota, Viridiplantae, Streptophyta, Magnoliopsida, Fabales, Fabaceae. The record is from RefSeq and is a predicted model, not a curated record.
CUAAAAAUGCUACUAAACGUCAAAACAUCGUCGAUUUAAUGUUUUAUUUAAAAAAAGAAAUCAAAUUUUGCAAUUAGUAAACCUAAGCCUAAACCUAUAGUCCCAUCCCCACACAUUAGAGAAGAGAGGCUCGAAAAUAGCUAGCCCUAGUAGCCACUCAUCACUGCCUUCCCUAUCGUUGAACUACUUUCCAUUGACCAGAGGGUGCUAUCGUACUAGCGUUGUCACAGAAGCCUCACGUCUCCACCAGACUAGCCUUACUGUAUCCUCCCACUACUUCUCCCUUGGCGUUGCUCACGUUCACUGAACCGUCUCUCUCUCUCUCUCUCUCUCUCUCGUCAGAAAUCGAAGUUUUACAAAUUUGACAAGGAACGGAACCGAUGGAAGGAGAGAACCACAGGUACCGUCAAGUUUCCGAAGAACAAGGUUACUAGCAAGAACAAAAUCAUUGCUGAGUGUGGUUCUUUAGCUGUAAGCACUCCAAAUCAUUGAAAAAGCCUCAGGUGCCUUCUUCCCGUAUUUGCAAAACUUCUCUCAAGAGCUUCAAAAGCUUGAGGAGUAUUGCAUGAACCAGAAAUCCAUUGAUUCGACGGAAAUGGUGGAAAUGGAAUGUCAGAGAUGGGCGAGCAAAGGGAUAAACAUAACGUACCAAAUAAGAGAGAACAGAAUGGGGUACAAAGUGGGUGCAUUAAACACAAUUUGAUCAUCUGGACACAGGCAUCCUGCACAGGCACACACUUGCUCUCACACUCAUUCACUCAUGGGAAGAAUUUCUAUCAGUUUGUGCUCAAUAACACUGCUAUUUUCAAUUAUAAUUGUAGUUAUACUCAACAUGCUUUAUUGUUGUUGUUUACUUCUUGUUAGCGAGAUAAAUUUUACCAUGAAAGCACUAUCAGAAACUUACUGAUCAGUUUUGCUCCUUUGUCCAUGAUAUACAUUUCAUGACAAUUUUCAUUUAUAAGGUUAUAUAACCUAUGGCCAUAUCAUAGUUGCUUGUUAUUUUACUAUGCAAUUUGACCAUAACCUAAGUAGUCCUGGUAGCAAAUUGAGUUCAAAGUUGGACUUCAUGCUGAGUUCUGUGUUGAAGUGGAAUUUGAUUAGCAUCACUUGAAAGGAAAAGAACAGAAUACAAGGCACUCUUUUUUUAUUGAUUUAAGCAUCCAUCACUCUAACAUAUGUUGUCAGUUUGUCACAUUAAAAUAUUGGUCUUCUAUUUUAUGUUGUUUGUUAUUCCCUUUAAGGUAUUUACAGACAUAUUUUAGUUUGUAAAUCCACUUCACAUUGCAUAUGCAUCAUUCUGGCCGUUUCAAUCAUUAGCUUGACUUAUUUACAAGCAACUUUUAGUAUUAUUAUUAUUGAAUGGUAACCUUUCGAUGGCUUGAAGUGUCGCUUACAACUGUUCUACUAUGUCUACGGAGUAAUUAUUUAUUUUAUCCACCAUCACCUAACCCCAAUCCCUAACUAUAAUUAAAUCACACUACUACUACUACAUCUAUAACUUAAUUAUUAUCAAAUCUAAUGUUGUGUAAUGUAUUGAUGCCUUUCUUGUUUGGAUUGCAAUUUUGGGAGUGAUUCUAUUUUUGUCUCUAAGGACAUUUAGAAGUUCAAGCAAUUCUACAUUUGGGAAUGUUAUGA